AAAUAUUGAUCAUAUACCAAGCCCACAUCCUUCCUUUUCCCUGAGAGCACCAAGGAUUUGGGUCUUCUGCUGUUCAGAAGCAGAGUUUGAGUAACCUGUGCUAUUGUCAGGACUUGAUUAUUUUAUAUUGUGUGUUCACCCAUCCAUUGCAAAGGUGAGGUGCAGCUCCCAGACAGCACUGGUGAGCAGAUGUGUCAGAGAGAGGUUUACAAGCCUGUCUUACAGUCCUACCCAUUGCUCCCACUGUCCCCCUGCAUUGCUCACCAAAGCCUGCAGCCUGCAGGGAUGCACCAGGGCUGUGAGGCAAAGGAUCCCCAGUGCUUCCAGAGGCCACCUGCUGCUCAGCAGGGUCCUCCUUUCCUGUGUUUAUGUUACACCCCCUGGCAGCACAGCCCUGUUUCCCAUGCCACGCCUUGAUGCCUGCAAAGGAGCCAAAGCCUGCUCUGGUGUGGAUCUGUUGUGGGGACUCUUACGUUAAUGCUACUUAAAACUGGGAGCACAUUGUAAACACAUUCAUUUAUUUUCAAUAAAAAGUAUAAUUCAAAGUAAAAACAAUGAAACAAAGCAGCACGUUUCUCAGACAAGUAAGAACUGAGCAGUUACGUCUCAGUUUCAGAAAGUAUUGAAUGGGUUAUCUGUUUUCUACUUCUAGAGGAACAGAAGACAUCUUGUGGUUCAGAUUCUGGGUAGAACCUUUGUGGUUCAGCCUUUGGUCUGUGUUGGUAGUAAAACUCUCUCUUGGGCAACAGCUGGAAAUGGUGAUUCAUCUUCAUAGAGCAAAUCUAACAAUGAAACAGUGCAAUUAAAACAGUGCAGAGCACGUGGUUAGCAGUGAACCAGGACACUGAAACCAAGUCCCAGAGCGAUGCUGCAGGUCACACACGUGCCUGUGCUGUGGUGAGGGUGUCACGCAGUCACCACUGGUACUGCCUGGCCUGUGAUCAUGGGUCUAUGCAUUUAAUUGGUUUGGUGAAUAGGGAUAGCUUACAGCUCUCUUACGCUGAAUUAUUUCUAAUGAAGUUAGAGAAGAGGAUGAAAUUAAUGUUUUCUGCAAGAAAAUGUCCGCAAGUUCAUUAUACACAACCAAGGAAACUGGUUAGUGCUACAGAGCAAACUCCUCAUUCGUUCAUUCACUUAAAAAAAUAUUGUUUAAGCCUGGCUGUGAGCUCAAAAUUGAAACAUGUAAAGAUGCACCCAUCUUUAAGCCUUGCCUGGCUGCAUGUAAGUGGAUGUGGUUAGGUUCAUUGUGUGCUCCUGAAUUUUUAUUUUAUUUUUUUUUAAAGUGCUGACAUUUAAGACAUACAAAGAAAAAUGGCCUCAGGGGAACCACCUCCAAUGCAUCACAGAAGCUUUGUUCAAACAGUUUUCUAUUACUCACUCUGACCACACAUUGGCUGAAGUGGUUUAGAUAAUCUGCUCUCCAGGAAGGGAUUGGUGGUGAGGAUCACCAGACAGCAUUGCUCCAGCCCACGUCAUUUCUGGAUGGCCUCCAGAGGCAGGAAGCAAACUCAACAACUGCUGAGCAGCGUGUUCCUGCGGGAGGCACUGGCCCAGCAGCUGCCCCGCUGGAAACUUUCCCUUCCAGGACACGAGGAAAGUUCUGUGCUGCAGCGUUCUUGGGAGCAUGGAGAAAACUCCUCCUGCUGCUCUCUCGUUCCAGCAGGCUGUGAUUUUUGAUGGCUGGAUACAGUUAGACUGAGAGCAGCCACUCAAGGUCUGUCAUGUACUCAGGGCAGGCUUAUGUACAACAUGAGCACUUUUAAAAUGCUGCAGCCUGGCUUUGCUUCUUUGCUGGUUCUGAGGUCAGCUCACUGUUCAUUAUCUGAAUGCAAAAAGCAAUAGCCAGGUAAUGUGCUGGGAGGAGCAUACUUGUGCCUUCUCAUUUUUAAAUUCCUUUAAUAUUUUGCUUCUUAGUCAAUUUUGCUAAAUAUUUUCCAUCCAUGCUUCCAUAUUUUGCCUAAAUUAUUUUGUAAAAUUUAAUAUUUGUUGAUGUUAUACUUGACUGAUUAAAUACUCAUUACUGAUUUCACAAUUAAUUUUAGUAUAUAUGCCACAUUAUUUCAAAGUACUAUGAUAACUUGCAAUAUUUAGACUGAAAGCAUAAUCCAGAUCUGGAAUCUAAAAUUAAUUUUAACCUGACCAGUUUUUCUAUCAUGUCAUAGACACAUUCUGAGGAGUAAGCUACUAAAACAAAAAGUACUGUAGGUUCUUCUGGUAGAAAGUAAAAAUAUAGGCAAAAAAGAAAGUGAGAGUCAAAUUCCCUCCUGUAUUGAUAUAAUAAAUUGUAUUUUCACACCCCAGGGAUAAAAAAAUCCCCAGCACAAUGAAGCUGUUUCUAAAAGCAUUCCCAGUGAGCUCAGCGGAAACACUCAGAAUCCCGAUGAUUUGUUUAUUGGAGUGGGUGGUUAUUUUUUCAUGAUUUCAUUUAAUAUGUACAUGUUUUUCUAGCAUCUUUCUGAUCCCUGUGCUCCCAGCCUUGGAACAGCAAGGCCUGCAGGAAGGGUGGUGCUGGGGACAGCCCUGAGCACAGGACAGGUGCUGGAGCUGGAAGAGCUAAUCCUUGUUCAGACACGGUACCCGUGCUGGACCAGGCAAACACAGCACUUGCUGCCUGCUCUGGCUGAUUCCCAGAGCUCGUGGCCAUCAACAUCCUGGCCUAUUGGUACUGCAGGAGACUGAAGCCAAGGUAACUAUUUAUGCUAAUAUUGGUGAAAGCAGAUGUAAACACAUCAGUGAGGGCCGGCACCACAAUUAAAUGUUUUCCUCCUUUUCCUAGAGAUUUGUGUACUUUUACACCAAAUCUGAAAUACAUUUACCACAACGUCUUUUGGCAUAAACUGAGUGUUUCUUGAGGUAUGUUGAUGGCAAUGUACCACCACCUUCUUCUUCACUGAUUUGUGCACACACUGUUUUCUGUUCACCAGUCUGAGGAUGUGCCCUGAGAGUCUGAGCAGAGUCCCAGGCUGUGCUUGAGCUCCUCAGAAUGUUUGCAUCCCCAAAUGAGCACCUGCUCUGAGCCCAGUGAUGAUGAAAUGCAGAGGAGCUGUGAUGCCUUCUUGGGUUUGUGACCUAACCCUUGCCAAAUAUCUCACCAGGGUUUUCAGCCUUCUGCCUCCAGCACCUCCAGGGUUCCACUAUCCAAAUUCUGGAUGGACCUCACAUUGUUAACCAAAAUUAAGCCCAGAAUCAAGCAAAAUAGCUUAACCAUAGACUUUUAUGUGCAAGGGAUAUAAACAGAAGGAAAUAUGCCAUUUCAACAGGGGAUCAUUUUUAGAUCAGCACUCUUCACACUGUUUACUCUCUCAUGUAGUUUUUGAUUCUUUCCUUUUUCAGGGUACUGAUUUUAGAAACAAAUGAUUGUAGGACGGUCCUGGUAUGUUGUUUUGGGGUUGGGUUUUGGUUGGAUUUUUUUGAUCUGGAAAAGAUUUUGCUGUUUCACAAAUCAGAAAAAUAUUUUUCAUUCCAAAAUGGGCUCAAGACCUCAUUAAAAUAGCAGGCUUUUUUGCUUCCAAGAUAGCAAAUCAUUACUAUGUUGAUUUUCCUCUCAUUUUAUGGAGCUAGCCUGCUUAGCUAGGAAAAAAAUUUGUCAGAAAGAAGGAUGUCUCUGUGAGUAGCAUUCAUUGCUGGAGAACUCAGUGCAAGAACAGCCUUUGAAAGAUUGAUAUUUUUUAAAUACAAAACCUGAACUUGUAGCAUUCUGUCUAAUUGCUAUUGGAGGAGAAGGGAACAGGAACUGUAGUAGCUGCCUUGACUAUAAUCACUUCCCAGUGGAAGAACAGAACUGUGGUAGAAUUUAAGAACAAAGCCAAUGGCUGUCCUGUUGAAGCAAUCCUAGCAAUGCUUCUUUCUCUAAUUAUUAUGGGCUGGAGAAAGAAAUGGUGCUCCAGGAUGCUUGCUGAUGGAUACCUGUUAACUGGGCACUCAUCCAAACUCACUCUGCCCUCACUUGCCUUCUGCUUCCUCUGGUUCCUCUGAUGUAUAGUCAGGAGCAGGAGAAUAACCAGGACUUCUGCCAUGUAACUUCACCCAGAGCUUAACCAGCACUGUUUUUGCUCAGUGAACCUGUUGCAUUUUCCUUUUAUUUUGACAAUGCUGACCAGCCUGAAUUCCUCCUCACCAGCACAAGCUGUUUGCUUCCACUCUAGCAUUUUGUAAUUCUGAUGUAACUCCAUUGCUGUGGAGUUUGUGAGAAGUGUCUGCUAUGUAUGUGCUAACCAGUAACUCAGCAGAAACAGCGUCAAGAGACUUCAUUCUUCUCUGAUGCGUUUGAUCCACAAAUACUAUACAAACAAAUUAUUCUUUACACAAAUACAAGUACUCAAGUUUCCCCAGGUAGUUUAUUAUUUAAUGAUGUAACAGUAUGGGGAUAUAGCUACUAGUUUUUCCAUUAUAAUCCAGUUGUCAGCUGGACUCCAUGACAAAAUUCCUGCUUGUGUGUCAACAUCUCACAACACACUUGUGCUCCCUCCUGCCAGAAAUUAUUUUAUAAAGGGGCAUUUAAAAACAAUAGAAAACACCAAUGGAAAAUGUGAUGCAAAUGUUCAUACAUCCAUGAGAAACUUAGAUGGAUAGCUAAUUCAGGCAUAAAGUGCUAUAGCUGGCCAGACCAUAUACAAGCAAAGUACACAAAAAAACCUACAUCUUUUGUGCUUUGUAGACAGGGGAGGGAAAGUAAAAGAAAAUGUAUUUAUGUGCUGUGAGCUUACACGUAUUUAGCUGGUUAUUUGAACUUUCCUAAGAGUCCCUAUAAAUAAACUGAAAACAUCUUAAACUACUUAUGACAAAUAGAAUUGCAGGAAAAAUCUAUUGUUUCCAAAUGUGCAUUUAAAAAAUGAGUGAACGUGAGGCUGCUCUGCAAGAGAAAGAAUCUUAAUGGAAAAACUUAUAGAACUCUGAGUGGAGCUGUAUGAAAGUAGCAGAUGAGUCUUGCUGCUUAACAAAAUUUUAUCUGUCAGUACAAAGGUUAACUUCAGGUUAACUUCAGAAUAUAUGUUUCAAAAUUCAAUUCAUAUACUUCCAACACACUACUUAUUUUAGUGAAAACUUAGUGCAAUACAGACACAGAUUAAUACAGGUCUGACUUCUGUGCCAUUUCUGCUUUGUAUAAUAGGAGGACAAGGGCAAAAUAAAUGUUUGAAAAGUUCACUGUGACCCACUUUGAAAUAUCAGACUGUUUCUGACUAGAACCAGACCAGCAUUCAGACUAAAGAUAUGGAAAUGUAUUUAUCAAAAGGCAAGGAGAACUUGGAACUUAGGUGUUAAGUUCCAUUCAUCAUAGACUAAUGACAUUCUGUAUGUAAAUACUUUUAAAUUUUAGUUGAUAGGGCUCUUCCCUGGCUGCUGCAAAAUAAAUGUGCAAAAGCUUAGUUAUCUUCUUCCUCUAAAACAGAUAAUUGUGUUGUUUGUGGGCCUCUUUAUUUGCACACUUUCCAAAGUUUGUUCACUGUUCUAAAAAAAAUUAAUGUACAAUUUCUACAUCAGGAAAUGGCUAGGGAGUAUUAUCAAUGAAUGUAAAAUAGAAAAAAAAACCUUCUAAGAUAUCUUUGUCCACUUUAAACAUGUAAGUUGCAAAUGCACAUAAGCAGUGUGUGAUUCUGGGCAGAUGCUGCGAGGUUCCUGUAAAACCCUGACAUCUGUCUGUGAGCAGGCUCCUCUCAGGCUGGCUGUGAGCCACAGGCAGUUCCAGGGAAGGGAGUACAGGUGUGCUUUGUGAGGAGGUGCUUUUCCAGGAUGGCAGUGCUACAGAACAUUCCUAUGCCCUUUGGGUAUUAUAAGAUAAUAUGCAAUGGCCAACUUUUAGUGAAUCAUACCUCACUUGUCUUUGGCGUUUGUUCUUUGCAUCUGCUAUUUCAGCAACACAAUUAUUAAAGCUCAAGUUAAUACAGAUUAAAUGAUUCCACCUCUCCCCAGCUGUGCUCUCCAGUCCAAGUCUGCAUCCUUUCAGAGUGUGACAGAGUUGACUCUGCAUGUUGAGAGCACCUGAUAUUGUCUGCACUGAAUUCAGCCCGUGAUGCAGGAGCUGAAGCACUCAGCAGGGAUUUCAAACAACUUGCAGCCUGAGCCCCUGGCUUCAAAACGGCUGGUGUGGUGUAAGCUACUGUCUUGGGACUUAAAUUCACCCUUUCUUUAAUGCCCUGCUUUGCCUGCUAGAUCACCCCUUUCUUCACCCAAGUGUUUAAUGCAUUCUAUGGAAAGUACAUGUAUUUUACUCACCAAACUGAAAGGCUGAGACAAGUAUCUGCAUUUAGUCUUCUUUCUCCACACAAAACUUUAUAAGAAUUUGGUCUGCACAUUAAACUUUUGCAGGGAUAAGUCACUUUUUUUUUUUUUUUUUUAUUUCACAUUUACUCUAGAUUUUACUUGAACACUAAAAGUAAGUAUUAAAGGAUGCAAAAAGAAAAGGUUAACUUUGGUUUUGUCAGUGGUGUUUUCUCAGUAGCCUUUUUUUCAGGGGUUUUUUUUUUUUUCGGUAGGGUAUUCCUGUCUCCAAACUGAAGUACUGACCUUCCUAAGUGAUUUGGAAUUCCUUAGUGCUGCACACUUAUUUAGGCAACUGCUCUGAAAAACUUCAGGUAACCAGCCUGGUACAAUGGUAAAGUGUAUAAAUCAGUGUACUGAAUCUGAGCUGGCACUGCUCACAGCUACUGACCCAGACAAUCUCGAUCUAUUUUCUGCAGGAUAUUUGGGGUUGGGCUUCUCUCCUCUUCUCUGUGAUCUGAUGGAUUAUAUUUAUUUUUUAAUCAGAAAAUUAAAUUUCUAAGUAGGUUUCCAUCUCGGCUAUCUGAAAUACUUAGUGCUUAAUCUGUUCUUUAACAUUGCUUUUUCAGACUGUAAUUUAUUGAUCUGGGUCUGUUGAAGCAGAAAGCACUUGCUCUGCUCCUGAGUGCUGCAGACAGAGUCGUUAUCAUUUGAGAUUGUGAAGUACGUUCACCACUGGAGUGCUGCUGCGUUAGUGAUAAGGGAGCUGACAGGGCGUUAGCACAGAGACACUGCCCUCUAUUGCAAACUGCUCUGCUGCUGCUACCGCUCGUGCAUUGACGACACCAAUGCGAAUCAACAGUUUAACACCGCAUACAAAUGGGGCAUUUUAGUUCAGUAACUUUGUGUCAGUCUGUAACAUUAAGGCUGUGUCAAAUGCACAAAGGUCUCAACAACAAGCCCUUUUACAGACAGUACAUGAAGUCUGUGGCAGACACUGGUGUGCUGUUUGCUGCAUUGCCCUUACCCGCACCUCAGCUGGAUUUUGAUUUGAUUUGGUUUGUAACCUGAAGGCACAGAAGAGUGUAAAUCAAAACCAGAGGGGACACUGUGCAGUGGAGCUGGAGACUGAGGAGCCAGCACAGCACAGCUGUGUCAUAUUUAUAUUUUCUGAACAAUCUCUUCGCUUAAGAUUUUCUCUUGGGAAGCUGAGAAGCCUCAAAGAAAAAGAAAAACAGUUUUAUCUCAUUUACUUCUCCUGUGUUUUGCUGCUUAGGAAUGUGUUUGGAGAUUGUUUAUCCAACAGGUGAUUGUUUCAUUAAUUUCAUGCAAAUUGUUUUGACUCAAUGGCCAACCAGUGCCAAGCUGUAUCGGGACUCUGAAGAGAGUCACAAGUUUUUCAUUACUACCGUUUUAGUCUGUAAGUAUCCUUUCUGUAUUCUUUAGUACAGUUUAGUAUUCUUUAAUAUAAUAGUAUGUAUAAUAUUAUUUAUAAUACUAUUAAAUUAUUAUUAUAAAAUCAUAAAUUAACCUUCUGAAAA
Passer domesticus (house sparrow) is the source of this 7739-nucleotide long non-coding RNA. RefSeq lists it as uncharacterized. The record is from RefSeq and is a predicted model, not a curated record. The transcript is spliced from 2 exons. NCBI's taxonomy places the organism in Eukaryota, Metazoa, Chordata, Aves, Passeriformes, Passeridae.